RNAcentral lists this ribosomal RNA (406 nucleotides) under uncultured bacterium. RNAcentral describes it as "partial 16S ribosomal RNA". It matches the Rfam family "Bacterial small subunit ribosomal RNA", at positions 30 to 526 of the family's 1533-position model. The record is from RNAcentral.
AUUGAACGCUGGCGGCAGGCCUAACACAUGCAAGUCGAACGAGUGGCGGACGGGUGAGUAAUGUCUGGGAAACUGCCUGAUGGCGGGGGAUAACUACUGGAAACGGUAGCUAAUACCGCAUACCAUCGGAUGUGCCCAGAUGGGAUUGGCUAGUAGGUGGGGUAAAGGCUCACCAAGUCGACGAUCCCUAGCUGGUCUGAGAGGAUGCCCAGCCACACUGGAACUGAGACACGGUCCAGACUCCGACGGGAGGCAGCAGUGGGGAAUAUUGCACAAUGGGCGCAAGCCUGAUGCAGCCAUGCCGCGUGUAUGAAGAAGGCCUUCGGGUUGUAAAGUACUUUCAGCGGGGAGGCGUUACCCGCAGAAGAAGCACCGGCUAACGACGGGCCAGCAGCCGCGGUAAUUC